AAAGGCUUAAUAUUUCAACUUUGAGUUCUUACUUACUGGGCUGACUUGGGUAUCAAAAUCUCAUCUAAGGAGAAAAAAAGCUAACUUCUAGGAGACCUUUUAGUUGAACCUUUGUUAAUGCAGUAUCAUUACAAUGACCUUUUGAGAGUGAUAUAAUGGGAGAAUAAUAUCUCUAUGGUUACAUGAAACAAGUAGUUUGGGACAUUCUGUGUUCCAAAACACCAGCUUCAUUUCUGGAAAAAUCUGAAAUUUGUCUCAUGGAUGAACGAAUAGAUUAUCAUCUCUUUGAAGAGAAACUAGACUGGGAUCCUUUGCCUUCCUGGUUUUGAUGUGAGAUCUUUCUCUAGAGGGGCAUUUUGAGUGCAGGAAACAGUCCAUUCUUGUAGAAGACUUUAAGUUUGUCAUGUAGAUAAGAUUUGAAGUACUGUAUUUCUGUGUUUGUUCUUGAAUUUCAUUGGUGUGAUAAGACACGAUGUUUCAGAAACCAUUACAGCCUGUCUGUUUUUUUUAGGAUGCCAGCCUGCUUCACUGACUGUGAAGCCACACUGAUGUAAUUGAAGGUAACAGUUCAGAAGAAGCAGUAAAUUAUUUCAGGUGAAUGACUGACGAAUUUGAAGCCUUUAGCUACAGCUUGUGAAUACAAACCAAGCUAAAGUCAAAAUGAUGUCAUUUGUACCCAAAGCUGUUAAGGAAGGGAGAGGAGAGGCCAUGUCUGAAAUUUCAUAACAUCUAUGUGAUUUAUUUGGAGCACCCAGCAGUCAAACCUUGUGUUACCAAACUCUUGAGCAGUAUAGCUCUGCAAAAACAAAUAGGAAGAUGUAUUAAGCGCUCCCAGCUGAAAGUUUGAAAACAGCAAAAACAGUGUGUAGCAAGGAGCACAGGAGAUACUCUUAUGCCAUUUUUAUGAAGAGCUAAUUAUUUACUGUUUAUCUGGAAGUUUAAACUAAAUGUAAGCUGCUAAUGUAGACUUAAAAACUGAAAGGAAAUUAAAUUUGAACACCUGAAUAAUGAGAUAA
Molecule: long non-coding RNA, 1016 nt
Organism: Haemorhous mexicanus (house finch)
Lineage: Eukaryota; Metazoa; Chordata; Aves; Passeriformes; Fringillidae
Exons: 2
Source: RefSeq, a predicted model, not a curated record